AUGAAAUAGAUGCAAAGAUCAAUUAGCAACAUUCCCAGGUCACCUUGCUGGUUAGUAAUGGAGCUGGGAUUCAAACCCAGGCAGUCUGACUCUAUGGCCAGUCCUUAUGACAAUUAGCUUUUUUUUUUGCCUCCUUGAUUGGCUACCUCCAGGGAAUAUAAAGAACUCUCACUUCUCUCCCUUCCGUAACCCUCACUGUCAAUAUUCUCUGUGAGGGGAAAUUUCAAAUGGCUUUGGGCCUUCUACACUCAGCUGAACUUCCUAGCCUCCCAGAAUUCCCUGCCAUAUCCUGAGAGUGGGAUGGGGAACCAUUCAAUGACCUUGCCCCAUUUACAGGGCACCACUCAUGUGCUUAGUAUUAUUAAGGCUAUAAAAAGGCCUCUGACAAUGGGCUCCUGCUUUCAAGUUGUAUACAACCUUGCAAACACAAGGUUCCUCAAGUAACUGGAGGACAAGCCAGUACAUAAUCACGUGACAACAUGAUAUAGUUGUUUAGGAGAAUGCGAGAGUGAAUGGAAUAGAGAAAUAUAAAAAGAUUGCCAGGCAGCAUUAAGAACCCACUCAAGGUUAGUGUUCAUGUAUUCAAAAUGAGCCCAGUUGGCAUGGUGACAUUUUUCUAGUCAUGCUCAGCUAUGUGAGUGCAGUUGCGCCAUAGGCAGAGAGUUAGAACUAUAUCUGGAUUGGGGCUUUGCUAAGAAAGUAUCAUAAGUAAGAGCUGAAAUAUAUUCAAGGGAGUGAUUACAAUGAUUGACCGUGGAGGUCACUUGCACCAGGUUUAGAGGGAAGACAUGAGGGAUAUGGUGACAGUGAAAAGAUGUCAGCGAACUGUUGAUCCCAGUGCGUUGAGGAUUGUUGGAGGCAGAGCAUGAGAGGGGCAACGUGAAUGCUGUGGAAAAAUCAGAAAAGGUACAAUUCAUGUGGGCCAGAACAGUUAGGGGAAACUUUCUUUGAACGUGGUGGGGUUUAAUCUGAGAAUAAAGGAUAGAGAAUAAUUCAAGGUAAUGAGACAAAGCAUAGAAGAUAGAAGAUUCCAAACUGGGGCAUAUAUGAGCAAGGGCAUGAAGCCCUGCACUAAAGAUAAUGUCUUUAGGAAAUACUAAGGAAACCAGCUUUACUAGGAUAUAAAGUUCAGGUUGGGGAGUGGUAGGGCAUAAAUUUUGAACGAUGAGUAUUACUAGAUGAUGACUUAGGUACAGGAAGGACGUGGACUAUUUCCAUCUCCCAAAUAUUCCAAAACAAAUCUGUAUACUUUAUUCCUUUGUUUGCCAGUGAGUGUGAAUAAGGUCUCUGUAAUUUAAAUUGACAAUACUUCCCCUGUUUGAAAACCUUGUCACAUUUUAUCAGUAACUUUCCCCCCUGUUUUUAACACCUUUUAUUAGCUCCAUAUGGUGAAUUUAUAUGUUUGCCUUACAGUGUUCUGUGUUGAAUAAUUUAGUGCAGCUACAGUUGACUGAAGCAGAGAUUCAACAUACAUUUCAAAGCUUCGAAAAACUUAACCCAAAACGUCCAACUGAUGAGAUUUACACAGUAACCUGGAGACGGUAAUUACCAUUGCCAAUUAAAAGCAACCAAACACAAAUGAUUAAACUUUAUAUAACCAAAACCAAUUCUCCAUGCUCCACAUCAUUCAUUCAUUGAACAUUUGAGCCCCAACUCUAAGCUAAAAACCCCGGUAGGUCAUGGGGAAAUGAGUGAAACAGCCCGUCCCAGGCUAGUGAGCGAGACAGGCAAGUGAAAAAAUACUACCAGUAAGAUAAGUGCUGUGAUGGAGGUAAACUCAGGGGCAAAUAGGAAAGGUUCCUUACCUGGAAGCAGAUGAGAAGCCAGAAAGAUGUCUGUGAGGCGUUGGCAUCUGAGCUAAGUUUUGAAAUUCCAGCCGCACCUAUUUGACCAGCUACAAAGAGGCGGAGUGGGUUUCUGGCAGAGGAAACUGCAAACGCAAAGGUUCAAAUGAGAGAAAGGCUCAAGUGGGAGAUGGAGGGAGCUCCCAAGUGAAUCUUUAAAAUGCCACCCGUAUCUGGGUUCCUGAUAGCUUCCUUAUCUGAUGAGCGUGAGGCAGAGAAGUAGCUCAGACAGCUUUGUCAGCUUCAGCCGGAUGAGGAACUCAGAACGAACAGAGCUUUCCAACACAUGUUUGAUAUGAUGAAGUCACAUUUGUCCUCUAAAUUGGGAAUAUUGUUGCCAUUUUUAUGGCUUGGUCUUUUUUUUAACUAAAAAUUCAUCCAUAUGUGCCCAGAUUUCAAACGGUGAAAGCCAUUCAUUUCCACUCCUUCAAGUGAAAUGGAGUCAUUGUUUGAAGAAAAGAUUAUGGGAUUAUGGCUGUUAAGUCCUUUCCGCUGGGAACUGAGUGGCAGUUUAGUAGUGACUGUGUGGUUCCACCACGCAGCUGGGCCACACCACCGAAGCCUCAGACCAAGGGCGGAGCUGACCCAGACGGAGGACCAGAAAUCAUGAGACACAAAGGAAAAGAGAAACCUCUCGUCUUAAAGAAAAAAAGAAAGAAAACUCCUAAAAUCCCAACUUUAAGGUUUCAAGAAACAAUGAGAUGUACAGCUGUGACAAAAGCUGCUUCAUGUCACACUUCUCUUGUCACAGUUGCCGGUUGCGUCCUGCCGACUCAGCUUCUCUUUGUCUCGCUUUUCUUUGCUAACCCCAGGCGAGAUUUUGCAGUGCAUGACUGAGAGAAUGGCCUCUGUCUCAAUGCCAAACGAUGACUAAAAUAAACAUAGAAAACCAAAUCAUUGUCUUU
RNAcentral lists this long non-coding RNA (2749 nucleotides) under Equus asinus (donkey). RNAcentral describes it as "lncRNA (ENSEASG00005030529.1)". Lineage: Eukaryota; Metazoa; Chordata; Mammalia; Perissodactyla; Equidae. The record is from RNAcentral.